AUGUAUCCCGUACACGCCGGUUCCUCCGCGCCGUCCGCACCCACAUGACGGCUGCUCGCUACGUGUUUGUUAGCA
RNAcentral lists this small RNA (75 nucleotides) under Xanthomonas campestris pv. incanae. RNAcentral describes it as "sX9 sRNA". It matches the Rfam family "Xanthomonas sRNA sX9". The record is from RNAcentral. Lineage: Bacteria; Pseudomonadati; Pseudomonadota; Gammaproteobacteria; Lysobacterales; Lysobacteraceae.